This 254-nucleotide ribosomal RNA is filed under the name uncultured bacterium. RNAcentral's name for it is "partial 16S ribosomal RNA". It matches the Rfam family "Bacterial small subunit ribosomal RNA", at positions 524 to 776 of the family's 1533-position model. The record is from RNAcentral.
UACGUAGGGUCCGAGCGUUGUCCGGAUUUAUUGGGCGUAAAGAGCUCGUAGGCGGCUCAGUAAGUCAGAUGUGAAAACUCAGGGCUCAACCCGGAGACGCCAUCUGAUACUGCUGUGGCUUGAGUCUGGUAGGGGAUCACGGAAUUCCCGGUGUAGCGGUGAAAUGCGCAGAUAUCAGGAGGAACACCGAUGGCGAAGGCAGUGAUCUGGGCCAGUACUGACGCUGAGGAGCGAAAGCGUGGGUAGCAAACAGG